This 1553-nucleotide long non-coding RNA is filed under the name Lingula anatina. RNAcentral's name for it is "uncharacterized LOC106173222". The record is from RNAcentral. Lineage: Eukaryota; Metazoa; Brachiopoda; Lingulata; Lingulida; Lingulidae.
GACGUCUGUAUUUGAACCAGGCUACAUUAUUUUCAAAGUAUACCAGGCAGCUACAGAUGUGGCUGAUGAAAAUCAAGAACCAGACACCAGUAUAGACGCAGUGACAUUCGUAGGCGCAGGCUUGGCGCUGAUAGUGCGCGUCAUUUUGCUGGUCUUCUGUUACAAAGUGUACAGAAAUUAUGGAGUUGGGCUCAAAGAAAAAGUAUUUAUAAAGCCCUUUUGGCACUCCCCUUACCCCCCUUUGAACCCUGGGGAGAGUACUAAGACGUACCAAUGCCUCAAACUAGCGACUGAGUCGUCACCAGAGACACAAGGUGCUUACUAACAAGACAGUGACUUGUGUAUGGAUAUGGCUUUAAGUUCUGCUCAUACAAUACCAUGACUACUUAAGAUUGGAUACCUGACUCGCCUUGAAAACCAUAGUCUGGUUGUACCCUCUACCAGGCGACAGACUGAUUUUCCACAGAUAUUCACAGAUAUGUCUCUAGAUAAAUAGACGGUCAUUUUGGUCUGUUGCCAAGCUUUUUUUUUCUUGUGCUCAUGUGAAAUCUUUGCAUAUAACUGCAAAUGUAUAUUUUGAUUGUAUGGAAUUUUUGUACAGUUCAUUUUAUCCAAGCUUAGUUAUCAUUAUUUUUAUCGCUCUCCAUAUAUUUUAGAAAUCCAGUUUUUUUUUCAGAUUCUGAAAGAAUUACCCUUUCAGAGUUUCCAUGGACUUUUUUGCUGUACAAUUACAAUUAUUUGAUAUUAUUUUUACAGUAUUGUAAGGCAGACCUGUAAACAUGAAAUGGUAAAAAAAGCUCUUGCAAGAGACUUAAUGCCUAUAUUAAUAUAUGAUAUAUUACUUAUGUUCCUGUUUUGUUCUAAUCUCUUAAGCUGAUUUUAAUAUCAAGAAGAAAUUUUCAUCAAUUUUAAGAUAUGAUGAUUUUGUUGUUAAUAUUUGGUGUUUUAUGUUUGUUGGGAAAUCUUUUGGGGACCAUUUGAGAUCUCAUUUAUGUGACUUUAUAAAGAUGUAUUAUAUUUAACAUGAUUUCUUUAAUUACAAAAUAUUUUAAUGCAAUUAUGGGUAAGUGUGUGAGAAAAGGUGCUGCUGAACUUGUUAUAUUGUUCAAUAUUCAAGACUGUGCAAUGCAAUCUUUUAUGCUUUUAUUUUCUUUGUAAUUGACUGGUUAUUGCUACACAAUGUGUAUGAUUUAUCAUCAUAAUUUGUAAUAGAAGUAAUUUAAAAAUAAUGUAAAAAAAAUAUGUGCUGCAGAUUUUUCUAGUUAUAUUACUUAGUUGUGAUUUUUUGUGACAGAUCCAGUAAAUUGUUUUGUCCAUAUGGUUAAGUUGGAAAAUAAAGUUGUGGUCAUUAUGUUAAACGUAAUUUUGUCAAAUUAAUAAAUUAUGUGUAUUCUAUUUGUUAAAAAGUGUAAUCGUGCAUCAUACUAUGCGACUGUAUAUUUGUCAAAGUGCAAGUUCACAAAAUGCAAAUAUGUGUAGUUAUAAAGUUAUACAUCUAUACAUACAAACAGCUGUAUCAUAAAAAUACACAUUCCCAAUUCAAUCUUGAAAUC